CCUCUCGUCGUUCAAUGGAUAGGACGUAACUUUGCGGAAGUUAUGAUAUAGGUUCGAUUCCUAUCGAGAGGACCA
RNAcentral lists this transfer RNA (75 nucleotides) under Minisyncoccota bacterium. RNAcentral's name for it is "tRNA-Arg". It matches the Rfam family "tRNA". From Rfam's summary of the family: Transfer RNA (tRNA) molecules are approximately 80 nucleotides in length. Lineage: Bacteria; Bacillati; Minisyncoccota. The record is from RNAcentral.